RNAcentral lists this ribosomal RNA (282 nucleotides) under uncultured archaeon. RNAcentral's name for it is "partial 16S ribosomal RNA". It matches the Rfam family "Archaeal small subunit ribosomal RNA", at positions 131 to 413 of the family's 1478-position model. The record is from RNAcentral.
CUUGGGAAACUGAGGAUAAUACUGGAUAGGCAAUUAUUCCUGUAAUGGUUUUUUGUUUAAAUGUUUUUUCGCCUAAGGAUGAGUCUGCGGCCGAUUAGGUAGUUGGUUAGGUAAUGGCUUACCAAGCCGUUGAUCGGUACGGGUUGUGAGAGCAAGAGCCCGGAGAUGGAACCUGAGACAAGGUUCCAGGCCCUACGGGGUGCAGCAGGCGCGAAACCUCCGCAAUGUGAGAAAUCGCGACGGGGGGAUCCCAAGUGCCAUUCUUAACGGGAUGGCUUUUCA